UGGUUACACUUGAUCUCUGAACUUCAGGUAAGUUCAUCUGUUGAGAAGCUUAUGUGCUGAUGCU
Non-coding RNA from Gossypium arboreum, 64 nucleotides. NCBI's taxonomy places the organism in Eukaryota, Viridiplantae, Streptophyta, Magnoliopsida, Malvales, Malvaceae. The record is from Rfam.